RNAcentral lists this ribosomal RNA (268 nucleotides) under uncultured bacterium. Its description in RNAcentral is "partial 16S ribosomal RNA". It matches the Rfam family "Bacterial small subunit ribosomal RNA", at positions 355 to 615 of the family's 1533-position model. The record is from RNAcentral.
UGGGGAAUAUUGCACAAUGGGCGCAAGCCUGAUGCAGCCAUGCCGCGUGUGUGAAGAAGGCCUUCGGGUUGUAAAGCACUUUCAGCGAGGAGGAAGGGUAGUGUGUUAAUAGCACAUUGCAUUGACGUUACUCGCAGAAGAAGCACCGGCUAACUCCGUGCCAGCAGCCGCGGUAAUACGGAGGGUGCAAGCGUUAAUCGGAAUUACUGGGCGUAAAGCGCACGCAGGCGGUUUGUUAAGUCAGAUGUGAAAUCCCCGCGCUUAACGU